This 66-nucleotide transfer RNA is filed under the name Homolobus sp. QL-2013. Its description in RNAcentral is "tRNA-Pro". Lineage: Eukaryota; Metazoa; Arthropoda; Insecta; Hymenoptera; Braconidae. The record is from RNAcentral.
CAAAAUAUAAUUUAAAUUAAAAUAUUAAUUUUGGAAAUUAAAAAUAUAUUUUUAAUAUUUUUUUGA